UUUACGUUCAGUGAAGUGGUAAUACGGUUUCCAUCCACACGCUGUAGCGCCAGCUCCCGCCUGACUGUCUGCGUAAAGCUCGGCGAAUCUCAAGUGGACCGAGAGGAAUUGGUUCAGUAAAGUGAGAGUGCGAUGAGGAGAGGAGCCAGAGAGUGAGGCGAUGGGCUGCACCUCUGCUAAGCAGGUGUCGGCCGUGCCCAGCGAUGAGGAGGGCCGGGGCAAGGCCUACAGCAACGGAGACCUCUUCACCGACGAGUACAAGAUGAAGGGAGUGGAGGAGGUGAAGUACAUGCGUGGAGAGGAGGACCGGGUGAACGCACGCAACCAGGAGAACCUGCACCAAGGCUCCAGCAGCAGGGGUAGGCAGCCUGUCUCUUCCCAGCACCAAGGCUCCAGCAGCAGGGGUAGGCAGCCUGUCUCUUCCCAGCACCAAGGCUCCAGCAGCAGGGGUAGGCAGCCUGUCUCUUCCCAGCCUUAGGGCCACAGCUGGGCCUGGUAACUCUUACCUCCCGCCACAGACCUGUCAGUCCCCUUAACCAUAAGGACACACAACACAGCAGGGGACGGAUGUUUCCAACCUUAGGGCCCUGGCUGGUAGGGCAGGGAGAUGUUCUCCCCCCAGGCCUGCUACAUGGGCAGAUUGGGGUUCGGGGGGCUCUGUGUAUAGUGUCGGGGGUCAGAACUAUGAGCUGAUCUGUGUGUUUCAGGAGAAGACCUCUUUACAGUACAGGGGGAAACCGCACAAAGAAGGCUCUGGAGCCAACGCCAACAGGACAAAUAUCCACACAUCAGAGAGCCAGCAGGAGUUCUUCAGGAUGUUGGAUGAGAAGAUUGAGAAGGGACUGGACUACUGUUCAGAGGAAGAAGAGGCAGAGGAUGGGACAUAGCAAACAAGGCCUGACUCAACCCCCUACAGAGAGCCUCCCAGAGUGUGUGCGAGUGCAUGUUCGUCUGAAUCAGUGUGUGUAUGUUCCACUGCCUUUGUAUGUGAUUCUGUAUGUGUCUGUGUGAGCAUGUAGGUUUUUGGUGUGUGAAAGAGCGAUGGAUAGCUAUUCUCAAAGACUGUUGCCCCCCUCUUGGCUGUCGUCCCAUUGGGCCCCUGAGUGGAUUACUGGAGGGAGAGACGAACGAGGAGACAUACAGACAGACAUGUGGACUCACUACCCUGCAGGACUAUGGAGAGAUGCACAUGGAGACAGACAAACGGACAUGUGGACUCACUGCCCUGCAGGACUAUGGAGAGACCCUCCCCUCUAUCCCAACUACCACCCCAGUGAACUGUACUGUGGUCCCUGGUCCAGCUUUGUGUAUACCACCCCCUCAUCACUACAACAUGGAGAAGGAGGACGGACAGAGGAAGAAUGAGCCUUACGGCAGUCUGGGAGACACCCUCCUGGCUUCCACCCUCCAUGGCCCUGACUACUGUGCUUUGCCUGUGAGGAGCAGAGAUGUGGAUAGAGAAAGAGGGGUGCUGGGGAGGGGGUGGUACUUCCAUAACCCCCAUCACAGAGGCUCGCUGCUGCAGUGGGCCAGAGAGGAUCCGAGAGAGGGAAGGGGUAGGG
This 1562-nucleotide long non-coding RNA is filed under the name Salmo salar (Atlantic salmon). RNAcentral describes it as "lncRNA (ENSSSAG00000110999.1)". Lineage: Eukaryota; Metazoa; Chordata; Actinopteri; Salmoniformes; Salmonidae. The record is from RNAcentral.